AGAGUUUGAUCCUGGCUCAGAAUGAACGUUGGCGGCGUGGAUUAGGCAUGCAAGUCGUACGCUUCUUGUAGCAAUACAGGAAGAGUGGCGUAAGGGAGAGUAAUGCAUGGUUAGCUACCCUCGGGACUGGGAUAGCGGCGGGAAACUGCCGGUAAUACCAGAUGAUGUCUUCGGACCAAACGUGUAAACCGGCCCGAGGAGGCGACCAUGUCCUAUCAGCUUGUUGGCGGGGUAACGGCCCACCAAGGCAAAGACGGGUAUGGGGCGUGAGAGCGUGCCCCCACUCACUGGGACUGAGACACUGCCCAGACACCUACGGGUGGCUGCAGUCGAGAAUCUUCGGCAAUGGGCGCAAGCCUGACCGAGCGACGCCGCGUGCGGGAUGAAGGCCUUCGGGUUGUAAACCGCUGUCGUAGGGGAGGAAGGCUCCGUGUAGAACGGUGUUUGACCGAUCCUAGGAGGAAGGGCCGGCUAAUCUCGUGCCAGCAGCCGCGGUAAU
Molecule: ribosomal RNA, 499 nt
Filed under: uncultured soil bacterium
Lineage: Bacteria
Description: bacterial SSU rRNA
Rfam family: Bacterial small subunit ribosomal RNA
Source: RNAcentral